Molecule: ribosomal RNA, 253 nt
Filed under: uncultured bacterium
Lineage: Bacteria
Description: partial 16S ribosomal RNA
Rfam family: Bacterial small subunit ribosomal RNA
Source: RNAcentral
UACGAAGGGGGCUAGCGUUGUUCGGAAUCACUGGGCGUAAAGCGCACGUAGGCGGAUUUGUAAGUCAGGGGUGAAAUCCCGGGGCUCAACCUCGGAACUGCCUUUGAUACUGCAAGUCUUGAGUUCGGGAGAGGUGAGUGGAAUUCCUAGUGUAGAGGUGAAAUUCGUAGAUAUUAGGAAGAACACCAGUGGCGAAGGCGGCUCACUUGCCCGAUACGGACGCGGAGGUGCGAAAGCGUGGGGAGCAAACAGG